AAAAAAAUUGUCUUUGAAAAACAACUAUAGUUUUUAUGGCGGGCGCUCUUAUGGAAAUUUACAUUGGAUGCAGUGGGUACAGAAGACUCUUAAGGUCAUAUCGAUUUUGGCUCACUCAAAGCUUAAUGCGUGCCGAUACUGGCUCACUUUCAAGGCCAUGCGGUGUUUGUCUGUCGAGCGGAGUUUGAGAACAAAGGGUGUAUUGUUUUCGGGUGAUCAAGGCGACUUAAGAAUGGGUGUGGUUCAGAUUAAUAUAAGUGUUUGUUGUAAUGGGUCUUUGCUCAAUAAUUCUAUAAUAGGCGAGAUGUCAAGAGCCAUUGUUCAUCAUCAUCCACAGCAGCAGCAGCAGCAACGGAAAAAAAGAAUUGACGAACUGUUACUGAAAAUUAGAAAAUUAAAGUGGGAUGUUGAAAUGCUGGGUUGUCAGCGCCGUAUGAAAAAACUGAUUUUGUAAUGAUUCAUACAGUGGCAGUUAAGGCAAGGAUUAUUUCUUUGUGUGUGAGGCAAUGGCAUAAAUACGACGACGAUGGUUAUUUCUUGUGUACCAAUUAAGACAAUUUGUAUGUAAAGUUUGCGAAUUAAAAGAAUGUAUAAAGGGUGCUUAUUCAUUUUCCCCCGACAUCCAUCCUUUAGAACCAGCCUCUUUAAAAAAAUUUGGGGAUUGGUGUUUAAUGAACUCUCAAUUUUAAAAACGAGUACACUGUACCUACCGUGAAUAGACGUUCUGCAUGGUAUCGCGCAUUUGGUAAAAAUAGAAAAUUAUCAGCUCGCAUUAUGCCGACUUGCGUAUGCACUCAUUUCAUUGCACAGUGAUAUUCGCCGAUUCGCGAUGUGUUGUGGAAAAUAAUUUUGGUGUUUCUUUGUGAUAAUGAUUAAUUCGGAUUAGUAUUUUCACUCGAACUCAGGUUUUCAUCUUGAACUCGUGAUGCAUCCAACUCCCGUUCUAAACGCUCCGUCUGGAGUUGGGAAUUUCUUUGUCUGGCCUGGAAAGUUGUCAGCAUCUUCUCCAGACACCCCAUUGAUAACAUCGCCAGCUCUUGGGGUGUGGAUGGCUCGCGCCAUCUGGGCGAUUCAUGAGAUGGCGGCGGUGGUGGUGGCGCCUCUUCUUGGUCGAUGGCUGCUGAAGACGGCGGAGAGACGUUUUCAUAAAAUUCUCUUAGUAAUUGCAUAUCUUUUUCCCCCCUAGGCAACGGGGCACUGUAACAAUAAGAAAAACACAGUAUUAAAAAUAGAUUGUAUGUAUAAUAAAAGUAACUUACUGAAAGUGA
This is a long non-coding RNA of Photinus pyralis (common eastern firefly), 1268 nucleotides long. RefSeq lists it as uncharacterized. The record is from RefSeq and is a predicted model, not a curated record. The transcript is spliced from 2 exons. NCBI's taxonomy places the organism in Eukaryota, Metazoa, Arthropoda, Insecta, Coleoptera, Lampyridae.